RNAcentral lists this ribosomal RNA (483 nucleotides) under uncultured bacterium. RNAcentral describes it as "partial 16S ribosomal RNA". It matches the Rfam family "Bacterial small subunit ribosomal RNA", at positions 30 to 506 of the family's 1533-position model. The record is from RNAcentral.
AUUGAACGCUGGCGGCAGGCCUAACACAUGCAAGUCGAGCGGAUGAAGGGAGCUUGCUCCUGGAUUCAGCGGCGGACGGGUGAGUAAUGCCUAGGAAUCUGCCUGGUAGUGGGGGAUAACGUCCGGAAACGGGCGCUAAUACCGCAUACGUCCUGAGGGAGAAAGUGGGGGAUCUUCGGACCUCACGCUAUCAGAUGAGCCUAGGUCGGAUUAGCUAGUUGGUGGGGUAAAGGCCUACCAAGGCGACGAUCCGUAACUGGUCUGAGAGGAUGAUCAGUCACAGUGAAACUGAGACACGGUACAGACUCCUACGGGAGGCAGAAGUGGGGAAUAUUGGAAAAUGGGGGAAAGCCUGAUCCAGCCAUGCCGCGUGUGUGAAGAAGGUCUUCGGAUUGUAAAGCACUUUAAGUUGGGAGAAAGGGCAGUAAGUUAAUACCUUGCUGUUUUGACGUUACCAACAGAAUAAGCACCGGCUAACUUCGU